GAUUUCUGACUUGAAACGAUUAGUCGGCCACGGUUUCGUGUGUUAGUAUUAGUCGUUCUGGUCAUCCUUCCAAUUGCUAUACAUCUUUCUUCAUUGAUGGGUGUGUGGUAUUGGAUCUUUUACUUUGAAAAAAUUAGAGUGUUUCAAGCAGGCUUAAUGCUAUGAAUACAUUAGCAUGGAAUAAUAAUUUAGGACUUCGGUUCUAUUUUGUUGGUUUCUAGGACUGAAGUAAUGAUUGAUAGGGAUAGUUGGGGGUGCUAGUAUUCAGCGGCCAGAGGUGAAAUUCUCGGAUUCGCUGAAGACUAACUUAUGCGAAAGCAUU
This 322-nucleotide ribosomal RNA is filed under the name Sandonidae sp. RNAcentral describes it as "SSU rRNA". It matches the Rfam family "Eukaryotic small subunit ribosomal RNA", at positions 634 to 955 of the family's 1831-position model. Lineage: Eukaryota; Cercozoa; Glissomonadida; Sandonidae. The record is from RNAcentral. RNAcentral also lists the same sequence under 1 other name.